This 597-nucleotide ribosomal RNA is filed under the name Triticum aestivum (bread wheat). RNAcentral's name for it is "partial small subunit ribosomal RNA". Lineage: Eukaryota; Viridiplantae; Streptophyta; Magnoliopsida; Poales; Poaceae. The record is from RNAcentral.
AUGUUACCGAUCAAGAAUACAUGUACCAAGGACCUACUUGCAACGCCUGGGGACUUGCAUGCAAACCCCAGGGACCUGCAUGCAAUCAGAAGAAGACCAAGGGUCCCACCCCCACAUGCGUGGCUCCCGCCUGAGAAUCAUGAUGCAAAGUUCAAUGUAGAUGCAGGCUUUUCGAAGGUUGGUGAUCACGCGGCGGCAGCAGUCGUAUGCAGGGACAAAGGAGGAAAGUAUUUGGGAGCCUCGGCCAUCAUCUACGACGGUCGCCUCGACCCAACCAUCCUCGAAGCACAGGCAUGCUGCCAGGCGCUCCACCUCGCCGCAGAUCUGCAGGUUCAAUCAUUUUGCGUGGCUUCUGAUUGCCUGGAGGUAAUAAGGAACAUCCACGAUGAAGUCCCUUGUCGAUAUUUUUCCAUCCUUCAUGAUAUCAAGCACGAGAGAAACCACUUUGAAGAUGUAAAGUUUCUUCAUGAGAAUAGAAAGCACAAUGGAGAAGCACAUGCUUUAGCAAAGGCAGCAGCCUCUCUUAGCACCGGGCGCCAUGUGUGGCUUAGUAUUUUGCCCGACAUAAUCUGUAUCCCCAUGUGUUUGAACUUCUAA